Molecule: ribosomal RNA, 375 nt
Filed under: uncultured bacterium
Lineage: Bacteria
Description: bacterial SSU rRNA
Rfam family: Bacterial small subunit ribosomal RNA
Source: RNAcentral
AUACGUAGGGUGCAAGCGUUAAUCGGAAUUACUGGGCGUAAAGCGUGCGCAGGCGGUGAUGUAAGACAGAUGUGAAAUCCCCGGGCUCAACCUGGGAACUGCAUUUGUGACUGCAUCGCUGGAGUGCGGCAGAGGGGGAUGGAAUUCCGCGUGUAGCAGUGAAAUGCGUAGAUAUGCGGAGGAACACCGAUGGCGAAGGCAAUCCCCUGGGCCUGCACUGACGCUCAUGCACGAAAGCGUGGGGAGCAAACAGGAUUAGAUACCCUGGUAGUCCACGCCCUAAACGAUGUCAACUGGUUGUUGGGUCUUCACUGACUCAGUAACGAAGCUAACGCGUGAAGUUGACCGCCUGGGGAGUACGGCCGCAAGGUUGAA